RNAcentral lists this ribosomal RNA (497 nucleotides) under uncultured bacterium. RNAcentral's name for it is "partial 16S ribosomal RNA". It matches the Rfam family "Bacterial small subunit ribosomal RNA", at positions 28 to 507 of the family's 1533-position model. The record is from RNAcentral.
GAUGAACGCUGGCGGCGUGCCUAAUACAUGCAAGUCGAGCGAACAGACGAGGAGCUUGCUCCUCUGACGUUAGCGGCGGACGGGUGAGUAACACGUGGAUAACCUACCUAUAAGACUGGGAUAACUUCGGGAAACCGGAGCUAAUACCGGAUAAUAUAUUUAACCGCAUGUUUCAAUAGUGAAAGACGGUUUUGCUUUCACUUAUAGAUGGAUCCGCGUCGCAUUAGCUAGUUGGUAAGGUAACGGCUUACCAAGGCAACGAUGCGUAGCCGACCUGAGAGGGUGAUCGGCCACACUGGAACUGAGACACGGUCCAGACUCCUACGGGAGGCAGCAGUAGGGAAUCUUCCGCAAUGGGCGAAAGCCUGACGGAGCAACGCCGCGUGAGUGAUGAAGGUCUUCGGAUCGUAAAACUCUGUUAUUAGGGAAGAACAAAUGUGUAAGUAACUAUGCACGUCUUGACGGUACCUGAUCAGAAAGCCACGGCUAACUACGUG